This 496-nucleotide ribosomal RNA is filed under the name uncultured bacterium. RNAcentral's name for it is "bacterial SSU rRNA". It matches the Rfam family "Bacterial small subunit ribosomal RNA", at positions 8 to 538 of the family's 1533-position model. The record is from RNAcentral.
AGAGUUUGAUCCUGGCUCAGAACGAACGCUGGCGGCAGGCUUAACACAUGCAAGUCGAACGAGAAGCCGGACUUCGGUCUGGUGGAGAGUGGCGCACGGGUGAGUAACGCGUGGGGAUUUACCCAGCAGUACGGGAUAACAUCGGGAAACCGGUGCUAAUACCGCAUACGCCCUUCGGGGGAAAGAUUUAUCGCUGUUGGAUGAACCCGCGUAAGAUUAGAUAGUUGGUGGGGUAAUGGCCUACCAAGUCGACGAUCUUUAGCUGGUCUGAGAGGAUGAUCAGCCACACUGGAACUGAGACACGGUCCAGACUCCUACGGGAGGCAGCAGUGGGGAAUAUUGGACAAUGGGCGCAAGCCUGAUCCAGCCAUGCCGCGUGAGUGAUGAAGGCCUUAGGGUUGUAAAGCUCUUUCAUCGGUGAAGAUAAUGACGGUAACCGAAGAAGAAGCCCCGGCUAACUCCCUGCCAGCAGCCCCCGUAAUUCGGAGGGGGCUAG